AUGGCUCAGGAUGAACGCUAGCUACAGGCUUAACACAUGCAAGUCGAGGGGCAUCAUGGAGUUGCUUGCAAACUCUGAUGGCGACCGGCGCACGGGUGAGUAACGCGUAUCCAACCUUCCCUAUAGUAGAGGAUAGCCCGGCGAAAGUCGGAUUAAUACUCUAUGUUUUCCGUUGCAGACAUCUAAGAUGGAACAAAGGCUUGCCGCUAUAGGAUGGGGAUGCGUCUGAUUAGGUAGUCGGCGGGGUAACGGCCCACCGAGCCAUCGAUCAGUAGGGGUUCUGAGAGGAAGGUCCCCCACAUUGGAACUGAGACACGGUCCAAACUCCUACGGGAGGCAGCAGUGAGGAAUAUUGGUCAAUGGGCGAGAGCCUGAACCAGCCAAGUAGCGUGCAGGACGACGGCCCUAUGGGUUGUAAACUGUCUUUUAUGGCGGGGAUAAAGUUCACUACGUGUAGUGUUUUGUAGGUACCGCAUGAAUAAGGACCGGCUAAUUCCGUGCCAGCCGCAGC
RNAcentral lists this ribosomal RNA (511 nucleotides) under uncultured bacterium. RNAcentral's name for it is "bacterial SSU rRNA". It matches the Rfam family "Bacterial small subunit ribosomal RNA", at positions 19 to 518 of the family's 1533-position model. The record is from RNAcentral.